RNAcentral lists this ribosomal RNA (1528 nucleotides) under unidentified. RNAcentral describes it as "bacterial SSU rRNA". It matches the Rfam family "Bacterial small subunit ribosomal RNA". The record is from RNAcentral.
UUUCACGUCAGGACGACGCUGGCGGCGUGCCUAAUACAUGCAAGUCGAACGAACUCUGGUAUUGAUUGGUGCUUGCAUCAUGAUUUACAUUUGAGUGAGUGGCGAACUGGUGAGUAACACGUGGGAAACCUGCCCAGAAGCGGGGGAUAACACCUGGAAACAGAUGCUAAUACCGCAUAACAACUUGGACCGCAUGGUCCGAGUUUGAAAGAUGGCUUCGGCUAUCACUUUUGGAUGGUCCCGCGGCGUAUUAGCUAGAUGGUGGGGUAACGGCUUACCAUGGCAAUGAUACGUAGCCGACCUGAGAGGGUAAUCGGCCACAUUGGGACUGAGACACGGCCCAAACUCCUACGGGAGGCAGCAGUAGGGAAUCUUCCACAAUGGACGAAAGUCUGAUGGAGCAACGCCGCGUGAGUGAAGAAGGGUUUCGGCUCGUAAAACUCUGUUGUUAAAGAAGAACAUAUCUGAGAGUAACUGUUCAGGUAUUGACGGUAUUUAACCAGAAAGCCACGGCUAACUACGUGCCAGCAGCCGCGGUAAUACGUAGGUGGGUAGCGUUGUCCGGAUUUAUUGGGCGUAAAGCGAGCGCAGGCGGUUUUUUAAGUCUGAUGUGAAAGCCUUCGGCUCAACCGAAGAAGUGCAUCGGAAACUGGGAAACUUGAGUGCAGAAGAGGACAGUGGAACUCCAUGUGUAGCGGUGAAAUGCGUAGAUAUAUGGAAGAACACCAGUGGCGAAGGCGGCUGUCUGGUCUGUAACUGACGCUGAGGCUCGAAAGUAUGGGUAGCAAACAGGAUUAGAUACCCUGGUAGUCCAUACCGUAAACGAUGAAUGCUAAGUGUUGGAGGGUUUCCGCCCUUCAGUGCUGCAGCUAACGCAUUAAGCAUUCCGCCUGGGGAGUACGGCCGCAAGGCUGAAACUCAAAGGAAUUGACGGGGGCCCGCACAAGCGGUGGAGCAUGUGGUUUAAUUCGAAGCUACGCGAAGAACCUUACCAGGUCUUGACAUACUAUGCAAAUCUAAGAGAUUAGACGUUCCCUUCGGGGACAUGGAUACAGGUGGUGCAUGGUUGUCGUCAGCUCGUGUCGUGAGAUGUUGGGUUAAGUCCCGCAACGAGCGCAACCCUUAUUAUCAGUUGCCAGCAUUAAGUUGGGCACUCUGGUGAGACUGCCGGUGACAAACCGGAGGAAGGUGGGGAUGACGUCAAAUCAUCAUGCCCCUUAUGACCUGGGCUACACACGUGCUACAAUGGAUGGUACAACGAGUUGCGAACUCGCGAGAGUAAGCUAAUCUCUUAAAGCCAUUCUCAGUUCGGAUUGUAGGCUGCAACUCGCCUACAUGAAGUCGGAAUCGCUAGUAAUCGCGGAUCACAUGCCGCGGGUGGGAAUACGUUCCCGGGCCCUUGUACACACCGCCCGUCACACCAUGAGAGUUUGUACACCCAAAGUCGGUGGGGUAACCUUUUAGACAGCGCUAGUGGGACGAUGAUAGGUGAUCGUAAGGCUAAAACGUUGCGGUUUGUGAAACCCGA